AGUGAACGCUGGCGGUAGGCCUAACACAUGCAAGUCGAACGGCAGCACAGUAAGAGCUUGCUCUUACGGGUGGCGAGUGGCGGACGGGUGAGGAAUACAUCGGAAUCUACUUUUUCGUGGGUGAUAACGUUGGCAGACUUACGCUAAUACCGCAUACGUCCUACGGCUGAAAGCAGGGGAUCUUCGGACCUUGCGCGAUUGAAUGAGACGAUGUCGGAUUAGCUAGUUGGCGGGGUAAAGGCACACCAAGGCGAGGAUCAGUAGCUGGUCUGAGAGGAUGAUCAGCUACACGGGAACUGAGAAAGAGCAGAGACUCCUACGGGAGGAAGCAGUGGGGAAUAUUGGAGAAAGGGGGAAAGGCUGAUACAGCAAUACCGCGGGGGUGAUGAAGGAGCUCGGGUGGUAAAGCGAUUUUGUUGGGAAAGAAGUGCAGCAGGUUAAUACGCCACGGUACUGACGGUACCGAAAGAAUAAGCACCGGCUAACUUCGUG
RNAcentral lists this ribosomal RNA (492 nucleotides) under uncultured bacterium. RNAcentral's name for it is "partial 16S ribosomal RNA". It matches the Rfam family "Bacterial small subunit ribosomal RNA", at positions 29 to 507 of the family's 1533-position model. The record is from RNAcentral.